This 88-nucleotide transfer RNA is filed under the name Nitellopsis obtusa. RNAcentral describes it as "tRNA-Ser". It matches the Rfam family "tRNA". Rfam says of the family: Transfer RNA (tRNA) molecules are approximately 80 nucleotides in length. Lineage: Eukaryota; Viridiplantae; Streptophyta; Charophyceae; Charales; Characeae. The record is from RNAcentral.
GGAGAGAUGGCAGAGCGGUUAAUAGCUCCGGUCUUGAAAACCGGUGUAGUUUUACAAACUACCGAGGGUUCGAAUCCCUCUCUCUCCG